This is a ribosomal RNA of Pteropus vampyrus (large flying fox), 122 nucleotides long. NCBI's taxonomy places the organism in Eukaryota, Metazoa, Chordata, Mammalia, Chiroptera, Pteropodidae. The record is from Ensembl.
ACUCAUUUCCAAAGUUGCUUUAUUUUCAUGCCAGAUCCUGUCUGAUCUCAGAAGCUAAGCAGGGUCGGGCCUAGUUAGUACUUGGAUGGGAGACCACCUAGGAAGACUGGGUGCUGUAGGCA